UCGGGAAUACUUCGCAAUGGACGAAAGUCUGACGAUGCGACGCCGCGUGCACGAUGAAGGCCUUCGGGUUGUAAAGUUCUGUUGUCCUGGAACAAGAGUGGUCGACGAAUAGUUGAUCACGAUGAGGGUACAGGAAGAAGAAGCACCGGCUAAUUCCGUGCCAGCAGCUGCGGUAAUACGGAAGGUGCAAGCGUUAGUCGGAAUUACUGGGCGUAAAGGGUGCGUAGGCGGAGGUGUAAGUCGGAUGUGAAAUCCCGGGGCUUAACCUCGGAAAUGCAUACGAAACUAC
RNAcentral lists this ribosomal RNA (289 nucleotides) under uncultured prokaryote. Its description in RNAcentral is "partial 16S ribosomal RNA". It matches the Rfam family "Bacterial small subunit ribosomal RNA", at positions 355 to 636 of the family's 1533-position model. The record is from RNAcentral.